CCUACGGGAGGCAGCAGUGGGGAAUAUUGGACAAUGGGCGAAAGCCUGAUCCAGCCAUGCCGCGUGUGUGAAGAAGGCCUUCGGGUUGUAAAGCACUUUCAGUGGGGAAGAAAGCCUUGGGCUAAUACCCUCGAGGAAGGACAUCACCCACAGAAGAAGCACCGGCUAACUCCGUGCCAGCAGCCGCGGUAAUACGGAGGGUGCGAGCGUUAAUCGGAAUUACUGGGCGUAAAGCGCGCGUAGGCGGUCUGAUAAGCCGGUUGUGAAAGCCCCGGGCUCAACCUGGGAACGGCAUCCGGAACGGUCAGGCUAGAGGGCAGGAGAGGAAGGUAGAAUUCCCGGUGUAGCGGUGAAAUGCGUAGAGAUCGGGAGGAAUACCAGUGGCGAAGGCGGCCUUCUGGACUGACACUGACGCUGAGGUGCGAAAGCGUGGGUAGCAAACAGGAUUAGAUACCCGAGUAGUC
This 464-nucleotide ribosomal RNA is filed under the name Vreelandella stevensii. RNAcentral's name for it is "partial 16S ribosomal RNA". It matches the Rfam family "Bacterial small subunit ribosomal RNA", at positions 338 to 795 of the family's 1533-position model. Lineage: Bacteria; Pseudomonadati; Pseudomonadota; Gammaproteobacteria; Oceanospirillales; Halomonadaceae. The record is from RNAcentral.